Molecule: transfer RNA, 3047 nt
Filed under: Homo sapiens (human)
Lineage: Eukaryota; Metazoa; Chordata; Mammalia; Primates; Hominidae
Description: HSALNT0102961
Rfam family: tRNA (bases 139-211)
Source: RNAcentral
AUGAGUAGCCACUGCACCUUGCCCUGCGCCAUCAAUGAGAAGAUCUGCUCUUAGUAGAGCCCUGCUUUCCCGCUGAAGGCCCUGAAAUCACCUGUGUUCCAGGCCACCCACUAAGGAUAAACAAAGCUUCCCUGAUAUGGGGAAUUAGCUCAAGUGGUAGAGCGCUUGCUUAGCAUGCAAGAGGUAGUGGGAUCAAUGCCCACAUUCUCCAAGCUUUAUUAUUUAGGUACCCAAACCCGAGUCAGUGUCUGAGAGCAAGACACUGCUCUCGGUGUCUUUGGUUCAAGACAUAGGAGCAGCAACAAUACAGGACUGGUGACAGCUUCCUGCUGGCAUUCAGUAUAGUGUAGAUCUACUGUGUAAUUAAUUUUCUGUUUCUUCGAGGAGCUGUGAAACCAAAGGACAUAUAAAACUGCUCUUUUCUCCCUGUUUCUGCCUGCAGCUUGGUCCUAAAUGUGAGACAAUUGUGAAAAGUGGAGGACAGAGCCACCUGGUUAAAUACAGCCCCAGCUUUCUGGUGAGAGGACUGAAACCAAGAUGUGUCAAGUAACUAGAAUGUGCCUGGACAGAUACUGUAGAAAGCAAAACCAUAAAGUUGUUCAUGAGCUUGUGGACGCACCUGCCAGCUGUGAAUAAGUGGCUCUAAUCCCGAACAACUUACCUAAAAAGAGCCUGAGAGCUGAACUGUGCAAUGGCCCACUUUCCAGUCCUCACUGACCACUGGGUUGCACACACUUUGGAGAUCUCUGAACAGCAGUGUCAAGGCUUUCAAAUAGAGUUAUCUUUGAAACGACAACACAUGAAAGUCUGGUUGGUACUUGGAGCUUAAAUACAAGGCAAUUGUGUGCCUGCAAAAACAAAAAUAGCAAUAUUAUCCUUAAGAUUUCAACAAGACACAGUGUCUCAUCACAUAAUCCAAAGAAGUCCAGGUUACAAGCCCCACAAUAUUCAGCAUUAUGAAAAAACAGGGAGAUCUUAAUUCACAUGGCAAAGAGAAUCCUCGAAUAACAAUAUUGAGAGGACACAGAUGUCAAAAUCAUCUGACACAUACAUUAAAGCAGAUAUUAUAACAAUGCUCCUAGAAUCGGGGAUAACAUUCGUGAAGUGAAUGGAAAGUUGGAAAGUCUCACCAAAUAUUUCGAAUACAUAAACACCAAUUUAAACUUAAGAAUUAAAAAAAUGUAUUAACCAAAACUCUUAGGGGAAAUAAAAAGCUUAAUUGGAGGAUCUCCAUAAUCGAAUGCAGAAGACUAAGGAAAAAGUCAAUGAACUUGAAAACAGAACACGAAUACCUACAUAAUCUGAACUAUAGAGAGAAAGGAGGAUUUUAUUGUCUCUGAACAGAGGCUCAGGCACAAAUAAAAAAUAACAAAUCCAACAUUCACAUUAUUGUAAUCUGGAAAGAAGAGGACAAAGUGGUCUUUGUGGGAUAAAACUUUGAACAAUUAAUAGCUGAAAAUGGUUCAAAUUUGUCAAAAGAUAUAAACCAGAUUUUUAAAGUUCAGUAAAUGUCAAUCAGGAUAAACCCAAAGAAACCCAUAGCAAGGCAUAUCAUAAUCAAACUGCUGAAAACUAAGAAAAUACAAAACAAUUUUGAAAGCAGCCAAAGGGAAAUGAAAGAGAAACUACCAAAUGAAUGAUUGUAGAUUUCGCAUCAGGAACCAUAGGGGCCAGAAAAAAUGUCAUAACAUUCGGUAAGUAACAAAAGAAAAAGACAUAUCGACCCAGAAUGCUAUGUGGAGCAAAAGUAUCUUCCAGACAUAAAGGCAAAUAAAUGCAUUCUCAGUGGAAGGUAAGUAAAUACAUUCUCAUUCUUAGGAAGACUGCUGGAAAAGAAUUAGCAAAGAUUUGAGAUAAGAAAAAUGAUACCAGAAGGAAACUUAGAACAUCAUCAGUGAAGGAACAAAAGCAGAAAUAGAACAUGUCUGGGUAGACAUAACAGACUAUUAUUCUUCCCUUGAGUUCCUUAAGGUAUGUUUGAUGAUUGAAAGCAAAAAUUGUAACUUUAUCAGAAGCAGUUGUCAUUGUAUCUAGAUGUACUACAUACAGAAGAUAAAAGGGUAAGUGUAAUGGGACUAACUCUUGAUGAAGUUUCUUUAUUCAACUUGAAUGGUAAAAUAUUGAUUCUAAGUAUACUGUGAAAGGUUAUAUAUGUAUAUGGUAAACCCUAGACCACUUCCUUUCUUCUUUCUUUCUUUCUUUCUUUCUUUCUUUCUUUCUUUCUUUCUUUUUCUCUUUUUCCUUCUUUUGGCUUCUUAGUGGUUUGAAUACAAGGCGUGGUGAAGAGAUAUAAAUUACACAAGAAACUACAAGCUAUGUCAUAUGUCUACCUCUCUAGCUGACAAGGGAAGCAGGGGAAAUUUCUCUUCCAAUUGUCUGCUCUGAAGGUCAUCCAAACAUAAUUAUCAGGUGGGGUGGGUGAACUCUUUUAUUCUUUUAAUCAUCCAACAAAUAUUUCUCAAGCGCAUACCUUGUUAAGAGACUGUUUUGGGUACAGUAAUUCACAGUGAAUAAAACACAGAUAUUCUCACCUUUGUGAUACUACGUCAUAGUUGCAAGGAGUGGGGAGAAACAGACAGGAAGCAAAGAAGAAAAAUAAACAAGAAGUCAUGUGAUAAUAUCUACUGGGAGGGACUCAUUAGGCAGUAAAGGACUCGGCAGUGUGGAGGUGACACAUUCAGUUUUCAGUAGAAGAAUCAGGGAAGUUGUCACUUUGAAGCUAUCAUUUAGCUUCCCUUUCUUUCAAUCUUCUUUCUUUACAUGGGAAAUAAGGAUUGUGGGAUAUUUUUGGGUGGAUCACAGCACCUAGAGAUGGACCUGAUCAAUAAGAACUGCUCAGUAAGCAUUAGCUACUGCUUCGGUUGCCUUCCCCCUGUGGAGUGCUGGCCUCUUGGAUUGAGCUUGCAUCAUAGGUGUUCAGUAGGAGCUUGCUUAGUGGAUUUAUAGGUUGAGGUUAGAACCCACUGGAAUUCUCUUCCUGGAAAGAACAGGCUUCUCUUUAAGGUUUCAUACAGACCCUGGUUGAGGAAAGAGCCCUAAAUUGCUUG